Molecule: ribosomal RNA, 510 nt
Filed under: uncultured glomeraceous AM fungus
Lineage: Eukaryota; Fungi; Glomeromycota; Glomeromycetes; Glomerales; Glomeraceae
Description: SSU rRNA
Rfam family: Eukaryotic small subunit ribosomal RNA
Source: RNAcentral
AGCAGCCGCGGUAAUUCCAGCUCCAAUAGCGUAUAUUAAAGUUGUUGCAGUUAAAAAGCUCGUAGUUGAAUUUCGGGGUUAGUAGAUUGGUCAUGCCUCUGGUAUGUACUGGUCUCACUGAUUCCUCCUUCCUGAUGAACCUUAAUGCCAUUAAUUUGGUGUUUUGGGGAAUUUGGACUGUUACUUUGAAAAAAUUAGAGUGUUUAAAGCAAGCUAACGCUUGAAUACAUUAGCAUGGAAUAAUGAAAUAGGACGUUCGAUCCUAUUUUGUUGGUUUCUAGGAUUGACGUAAUGAUUAAUAGGGAUAGUUGGGGGCAUUAGUAUUCAAUUGUCAGAGGUGAAAUUCUUGGAUUUAUUGAAGACUAACUACUGCGAAAGCAUUUGCCAAGGAUGUUUUCAUUAAUCAAGAACGAAAGUUGGGGGAUCGAAGACGAUCAGAUACCGUCGUAGUCUUAACCAUAAACUAUGCCGACUAGGGAUCGGAUGAUGUUAAUUUUUUUAAUGACUUCA